This 1373-nucleotide ribosomal RNA is filed under the name uncultured prokaryote. RNAcentral's name for it is "partial 16S ribosomal RNA". It matches the Rfam family "Bacterial small subunit ribosomal RNA", at positions 29 to 1393 of the family's 1533-position model. The record is from RNAcentral.
UUGAACGCUGGCGGCAGGCCUAACACAUGCAAGUCGAGCGGUAACAGAUCUAGCUUGCUAGAUGCUGACGAGCGGCGGACGGGUGAGUAACGCGUAGGAAACUGCCUAGUAGUGGGGGAUAGCCAUUGGAAACGAUGAUUAAUACCGCAUACGCCCUACGGAGGAAAGCAGGGGAUCUUCGGACCUUGCGCUAUUAGAUAAGCCUGCGUGGGAUUAGCUAGUUGGUGAGGUAAAGGCUCACCAAGGCGACGAUCUCUAGCUGGUCUGAGAGGAUGAUCAGCCACACUGGAACUGAGACACGGUCCAGACUCCUACGGGAGGCAGCAGUGGGGAAUAUUGCACAAUGGGCGCAAGCCUGAUGCAGCCAUGCCGCGUGUGUGAAGAAGGCUUUCGGGUUGUAAAGCACUUUCAGUUGGGAGGAAAAGUUAUAGUUUAAUACGCUAUAGCCGUGACGUUACCAACAGAAGAAGCACCGGCUAACUCCGUGCCAGCAGCCGCGGUAAUACGGAGGGUGCAAGCGUUAAUCGGAAUUACUGGGCGUAAAGCGCGCGUAGGUGGUUUGUUAAGCGAGAUGUGAAAGCCCCGGGCUUAACCUGGGAACUGCAUUUCGAACUGGCAGACUAGAGUAUGGUAGAGGUGAGUGGAAUUUCCUGUGUAGCGGUGAAAUGCGUAGAUAUAGGAAGGAACAUCAGUGGCCGAAGGCGACUCACUGGCACAACACUGACGCUGAGGUGCGAAAGCGUGGGUAGCAAACGGGAUUAGAUACCCCGGUAGUCCACGCCGUAAACGAUGUCUACUAGCCGUUGGGAACCUUGUGUUCUUAGUGGCGCAGCUAACGCAAUAAGUAGACCGCCUGGGGAGUACGGUCGCAAGAUUAAAACUCAAAUGAAUUGACGGGGGCCCGCACAAGCGGUGGAGCAUGUGGUUUAAUUCGACGCAACGCGAAGAACCUUACCUACUCUUGAAAUCCAGAGAAUUCGUCAGAGAUGACUUAGUGCCUUCGGGAACUCUGUGACAGGUGCUGCAUGGCUGUCGUCAGCUCGUGUUGUGAAAUGUUGGGUUAAGUCCCGUAACGAGCUCAACCCCUAUCUUUAGUUACCAGCGCGUAAUGGCGGGAACUUAAGGAGACUGCCGGUGACAAACCGGAGGAAGACGGGGACGACGUCAAGUCAUCAUGGCCCUUACGAGUAGGGCUACACACGUGCUACAAUGGCAUAGACAGAGGGUUGCGAACCAGCGAUGGUAAGCCAAUCCCACAAACUAUGUCGUAGUCCGGAUUGGAGUCUGCAACUCGACUCCAUGAAGUCGGAAUCGCUAGUAAUCGUAGAUCAGAAUGCUACGGUGAAUACGUUCCCGGGCCUUGUACACACCGC